Non-coding RNA from Doryrhamphus excisus (bluestripe pipefish), 3267 nucleotides. The record is from RefSeq and is a predicted model, not a curated record. NCBI's taxonomy places the organism in Eukaryota, Metazoa, Chordata, Actinopteri, Syngnathiformes, Syngnathidae.
AGAGAGAAGAUCCAUGCUGAUCGGAACCCACCACUACCCCAAACGGACUUCGCCACCAUAACCCAGAGAGAUUUUCGAGUUGACGGAUUUGUCCCCCAAACGAGUAAAAUCACACAUCUUCAUGAUUAUAAAACAGAGCAGGCCAUCAGCUACUGGAGUGAAAAUUACCAGCAGGUACAGGGUGUGACUGCAGUAGAAAGCCCCAAUACUCCCUUCAGAAAGUGCGCCCAGUUCUCCACACCCAUUGAGGAGCAACGGGAAGAAAUCGAGCUCACCAUUGAGUAACUUUCCACCUUGAGGAUACCAAGGCGUUCCCAGGCCAGUUUUGAGACAUGAUGCCUGUGACACUCUCGGCGGAGGCCAACGUUGGAAACAGUCUCCACUAUCUGCUGGCAAUGCUAAUCAGGCUUGUACAAGAACCGAAUGACAUGUGGUCAUGUGCCACCAACCCAUAGUCCUGAAAGUGUACUGAGCUAUAAAAAUGCAUCUAUAGGUGCAUUAAUAUCGCAAAAUUAUUUCAUUCUCCUUUCUUUAAAUUAAUUGUUGCCGCUAGUUAAAAAGCUGAAGCCUCUCGCAGAAGAUGAAGCUUCAUUAAACUUCAAAGAGUGAACCUCUCCUGCGUCGAAACACUGCAAUGUCGCUUGGGAAUUUUCUACCAAUACUCAUAAUAUGUGCUGUGUCAAUCACAGGACAAUGCCAGGAGCUGCUGAUCCUUUCUGAGCAUUCAGCAAGGAUUAGUGGGCGGUAGCUAUGGCGACAAUUCAUUUAAGCUUCAACGCAUGCAGGUUUUUCUGUCGGAACAUUAGACGAUGCAGGGAAUUCCACUUAUAGAGAUAAAUAUGUUUCAUGACAUUGAAAGGCACAGGUUUGUUUGAACAUUGCAAGCCACCGCUUAUAUGUUUGUUUUCAGGUAAAGAUAGAGAUUUGGCAAAGUUUGGCUAGUAUAUGGCCAAUUGCCAAGGAUGAGAAGAAAGACAUAAAAAUCCCAUUAGUGCUCAUUCCCUCAAGUCAGCAAUCAACUACAACUACAGGUGGGGAACUCACGCCCCCAUGCUGCUGAGACUAAUCAAACUAAUCACUUGACGUGGAUGAAAUCAAAGCAAGUCGUGAGGGGGGAUCGUUCACUGCUGGGUCUUCGGGUUAAUUACAGGGUUUAAAAAAAUGUAAAUAUCUCAAAAAUCUAAAAAGAAUCUCGAUUAAAAUGUGACUUACAUUUAUAACUUUAUUCUCGAAAUCUCAGAUUUUAAAAAUGAUUAAAAACGAGGCAAUGGUUUAGUGUUUUUGUUCCUUUUUAACGCCUUAAUUCCGGAUUAUAUGCUCUUAUUUUGUAUUACUUCCGUUUCUGCUCCGUCCUAGUUUCCUUUUUUUUACCUUUCUGUUCUCACGCACCUGCUUUCAAUUUGUGUUAAUUGGGAUUAUCUGAGCAUUGUUAAUGGUUACUGUUGUGGCGUCCUGACACUGCUUAACAGCAUCAAUAGUUAUAAUAAUAUAAUAAUUUUAAUCCAAAACUUUUACCUGCACUUUGGGGUCUCAUCCUUUGCAUCCUGAGGUCGAGCUAAAAACAUCACAGUGCAAUGACGUCACAGCAAUGUUGACAACGCCGGAACACACGAACAACCUGACUCUGGUUUCUGGAAACACCGGCAUGCUUUUGGCACAGGCACAACCAUGCCCCAAACCAUUUUUGAGGGUUUUUCACCUAGUACCCAGGAGGGUACUAAGUGUCCAGGAGGUGAAACCUGUUCAUGAGUGUCCAUAUAUCUCACAAAAGGUUGCGGGGGGUGCUGGAGCCUAUCCCAGCUGUCUUCGGGCGAGAGGCGGGGUACACCCUGGACUGGUCUCCUAGCUGUGAGAGUAUCAUCCCUCGAGAAGAUUUGACUCACCUGUGUGAAUACCUAUCCUGAGUCUCAGCUGGUCGUUGGGUCUGUGGCGGAUCUUGAACGUUUUCACCUGCUCUAACAAGGCCAGCGACAUCCCAGCAAUCUCCCUGGCAUGGAGUUUCCCAUUCCGCACCGGCAGCCCUGACACCACCAUGUAUGCGUCGCCAAUGGUCUCCACCUGAGGGAGGAGCAAAGUCAUCAUCUUCACGUACUUCGUACUGUCCAGCGCUGAAAUUUCGACUUACCUUGUAUACAUCAAAGUUAUCAAUUAUGGCAUCAAAACAGGUGUACAGGUCGUUGAGUAACGUGACCACCUAAGAGGGAAAGGACACUCGGUGAAGCUACAAUAGAAAUGAAUGAAUGAUGACCAUGUUUACCAAAUAUUAAUGGGUGCAAUUUGUUGGCUGUGGAAAGUAGGACAUGAUUAAAAUAAAUAAUAGUGUAAUAAUAAUAAUAAUAGUUCCAUUUUACCUAAAAAAUGACACCAUGUACACUCAGUAACAUUGUGUCUCUUGCUGUUUGGACUAACCUGAUGGUGCAACCCUAAUUGGAUAAAUAUGAGCACACAAAGAGGCCAAAUGCAAUAGUUCAUUGGGAGGUCAUUCCUCCACAUAUGAGGGUGUAUAAGCUUGUCAGCUAUCACUUGCUGACUCUCUGCUUGGACAUCAUUAUCGUGUUUCCCUGGUGAGAAAGCUUUAGAACUGGAGCUGGUGGGAGCCAUGUAGCACAAUGUCUCAAUGACUCAACUCUGCAUCAACAUUUUCGAUUUGGGAAAGUGUAGGACUCACUGCAGAAAGGAAGUUAAAAAUGGUACACUGGCAAAUAGAAAGUUAGUUGAGAAUUACAGCUUACUGAUCUUUUACUCAAUACUUAGGUACUUACGAUAUACUAUAUAUUCUGUAUCUAUUUAUCACAUAUGAAAUAUUUACAGUAUCUCUUCAUUAUCAUUGUGUAUGGUAGUUUUACUCUAGUACUUUGUAUUUUUAAUUCUUUUAUUAUUAAAUUAACGCUGUUUAUCAUCAGUGCCGGGCAAAUUUAAAACAGUAAAUAGUUAUAGUUGCUACCGGUACUUACUUUUCCUUGCAAUUCUCUAUCACGUGGUUAUCUUGCUGGGUGUUAGCAUGCUAACUAUUAGCUUUUUACCCAUGCAUACCCAUGUCAAAUUAGCAUUUUAGCAUGUUUUCCUGAUGUCUAAAUGUAAAUACAUACAAAGGGACACUGUAGAACUGCCUUGGCUGUGUCUGUACUGAGCUGCUAGCAUGUUAAGUGUUAGCAUGUUAACAUUUAGCUAUUUAUUUAUGUCUUAUUUAUGUCAGCAUUCUAGCUUUUUUUCUCAUUUCUAAAUGCAAAUAAAUACUCCACCAACAUAUUGUAGGGAUACUAGAAC